Molecule: long non-coding RNA, 222 nt
Organism: Cucurbita maxima (winter squash)
Lineage: Eukaryota; Viridiplantae; Streptophyta; Magnoliopsida; Cucurbitales; Cucurbitaceae
Exons: 3
Source: RefSeq, a predicted model, not a curated record
AAGAAUAAGAGUGAUACCAUUUACAUACGAACAUGGUGCCAACCUAACAAGACUUAGAAAUUAUAAAAGUGCGUGAAUGUACGCUAGUCGAAAACCAGGUUAAGGGGUACAUGUGCAAACUUACUUGAGGUUCAUGUGCACAUAUGUGGGCCGCGUAAAGAAAUACUACACAUUCAAUUAUGGCGCUGAAAGGAGAAGGAAGGCUGGAACGCCAAGGUUGAG